UAUGCACCCUGCUAUGAACCUCUUAUAUUAGGGUGACAUAUUUGUUACAAUUAAUGAGCCAAUAUUGAUAUGUAAUUAUCAACUAAAAUCCAAGUUUAGAAUAAGGGUUGCUACAGGAUUUGCUAAUGCAUAAUGUCAUAUAGCACCAUGACAGUAUCAUACUGCAUUGUUUCAUUGCUCUAAACAUCCCCUAUUCUUCACCUGUUCUUCUCUCUCGCUUUCUGAACCCCUGGAAACCCCUGAACUCUUUACUCUCUCUAUAGUUUGCCUUUUCCAGAAUGUUAUAUAGUUGUAACAUUGAGUGUGUAGCUUUUGCAGACUGAAUCUUCUUCUCAGCAAUAUGCAUUUAAAGUUCCUUCAUAUUUUCAUAGUUUGAUAACUAAUUCAGUUUUUAUCACUGAGUAGAACGGAUACAAAGAAAGUUUGUAUCAGGAGCUCAGCUGACCUGGGAGAGAGAGGGGAGCUGUCAGGUGUCACAGCAGCCAGUUAAAACAACAGGACGAAAUCAAAGAGUUAAGCCUCUAACCACUUACUGUGACGGUACAAGGAAGAGGCUAAAACUGCAGCAAGUGCCCCUUCCCCCUUCCAUUUUCCCCGUGGAAUGUCGCCCCAUUCAGGGGUCAGGUGGGUCAGUGCAGAUCUGAGCUGUCUCUCUGCAGAGGAGUCCCUAACAAAAGGCCUGGCAGUUUUAUGGACCCUGGGGUCAGGGGAGGGCGAGAGAGAAGGACUGGGAGUGGGCAGGUGCUGGGUACUGACUCAGAGAGCGCGGACAGUGUCUGCAGGCUUCCCUCUCCUCCCCCAUGAGGCGGCCUUGCAGAGGAGCCUGAAGAGAACCACGGCCCAAGGCCUUGAUAAAGAGACCCGGGAGUGAAGGUGCCUGGGCCAGGAACGCAGAUGUGUGAAGAGCAGAACUGGCCAGAGGAGCCUGAGCGCUUGACUGCAGCUCCCUUCAGAGAAUGCAGGGCUCAGGCCAGGCACUCAGGCUGCGGUGUGGGGACAGAACCCCUCAGGGGACCCUACCGGAAAGGCUUUGUAUUUGCCCAUGGGGGAUACUGAGAAAUCACACAUGGGUUUUUAACCAGUAGCCAGACUCCUCAGUUUCUUUCUCAUUCAUCUUUUGAAGGGAUCUUGGUUAUUUCCAGUUUUUGAUGAUUUUGAUAAAGCUGCUGUGAACAUUCAUGGAAAUGUCCCUCUAUUCACUACUUUCACCGCAUCCCAUGAAUUUUGAAAAGUGAUAUUUUUAUUUCAUCUAGUUAAAACUAUUUUGAAAUUUCUAUUUAGACCUCUUCUUUAAUGUCUUCUGUGGAAGCACGUUGUUUAAUCCUCAACUAUUUGGGGACAUUUAACAAACCAUGUCCAUGUACCCAUCCUCUUGUCCAGUGAAGCAGAGCUCCCUAACUGAUUCAAGAGCAGCAUCACAAUGCCUGACAGCCACUCUGCAUCCUCCAGCCUCCCAGGAGGACCCUUUGGAGGAGCUUCCUGGUGGCAGGAGAGAUGGAGAGGCCUUAUCUAAUAUCAAUGUAAUAUCGUGUUCCAUUGCCUGAAAUAGACACUUUGCUUUCUUCGUUUCCCUCUUUAUUGAUUAAGUUCAGAUGUGAAGAGGUAACAGUGUGCAAUAUAGACAUUAACACUGUCUUCUGGGGGGGUGGAAGAGGAGGUCCUUCCCUCUGGCAUCUGAUUCAAGAGGGCGUCUACAAUGGCAGCACCAGCUUGGCAGCUGUACGUGGGCCCUUUCCUCAGAAGCUGGGUUUCCUCCUGAGAUCGAGAAUUCUGUAGUUACUAACCUAAAGGACUAGAGAGCUGUGUGGUCCAGGAGAAGCUCAUGCAUUUACCACAGUGCAUGCUAAGCUUGCUCUGAGGGCCUUGACUUGACUCCUGUUUCUAUGUGCUUUGCAAUAGUCACCAAGAGAACGACAGCAACAAAAUAUAUCAGCAAACGGCCCUCCCCCUGGUCUGCUCCUCACAGCGCUCUCAGAUGGAGAUACCUAAGUGCCUAUAUUAAUGGCCCAAACUCUCAAGUUUCUAAGUGGAAGAGCCAACAUGUGGACCAGGUGUGUGUCCCCAGUUCUAGUGCUCUGAACUGCUGAUCUGCGUGUGUCACUCAGACAUGGGAUCUUUACUCUCUGUGCCAGGGUCGAGAAUGUGGGAGGACAAGCCACACUCCCUGCACUUUACACGGAGCAGGAUGAUCAUGACCUCCAGGGAGCCCAGCGAGAUGGUGCAGGGGAUCCAUCAGGCGCUGGACAGAAACAGCUCUGGGUGGGAGCCGUGCAAGAAGUACAUGAGCCGAGUGUGCACAGCACACCCAUGUGAGAGGACUUCUUGUGGUGGAGGAUGGAGAUGAGCAAGCUGAGGGUGUGUUCAUUCACCAGGGUUCAAAUGAAGAGGCUGACUGCCAGCUCCACGGCCUUCAAAAGCAUUGGGUCCCACAUACCCAUUGAGCUUUAAGGACUGCCAGGAACAGCCUGGGAGACGAGAGGAGAAGCUGCUGCCCUAGCUGCUGGCUGACCCAGCCACCUCCACCUGGUGAAACUUCAGAGACUGGACCGCUUCUCCUGGCACUUCUUCCCUCCCCCACUCUUCUACAUCUUUCCUCCAUAUUUGUGGGGGGAGGGGAGGUGAUUACUGUAAAUUACUGAACUUGGUUCUUCCAAACCUUACAGUAAUAUUGAUGCUCCAGAAAUAUGUAUCACAGAUAUUCUGCUGUUUUGCAUCCUACUUGCACACUCCGGGAUUAUGAAGCUGUGCAUGCUCCAGUUUGAAAAGUGUGUAGUAAUGUAGUACUGGGAGUUAAUCAGUAAUUCUAAAUAGAAAAAUGACUUUGGAAAAUUAUCAGAGUCAACCCAAAUAGCAACAAAUAAUUAAAAGCAGUUCCAAAUGAAUAAAGCUCUGAUAUGUGCUGUGUAGCAGACAUGUAGAAAUUGCUUGACCUUCAUACACUGACUAACAUUACCUCACAUUUCAGGAAGACCAAUGGGACUUUUUUGUUGGCCUGUGUUAACUAGGACCAAUAGGUCCACAAUAGCAUAAGGAAAUUCCAUCAACAGGCUCUGUUGGUGUCAGAAAGGAGUGAGUGUGGUCACUCAAAGCAGGUUAGGGCCUCAUUUCACUUUGUGACUGAGUUUCCUGCCUGUAUAAUACAGGGGUCCACCUUCCACUGUGAUUCCCUCUCCUUUUGUAACCGGGGCACAGAGCAGUCACUCCAAGAGGCCUGAGCAAGUUCAGCCAGCCUAAGGCUCCCAGGGGUGCCCCUCUGUGAGCCAGGGUCCCUGCUGGUCCAGAGGAGGCUUCAUGGCAAGAGACACUAGCAGGGUGGGAUGGAGGGGCAUGCAGGAAAGGUGGCUUUUAAAAGGCAAAUGCCAGCUUCCAGGGUGACUGUGUCAAUAUUUUAGAUAGUGAAUUUAUGGUCUCAGAAACCAUCAGGGAGUUUCCACAGAGUUCCUCAGAAGUCUGAAGUUUGUCCAGGAAGUCUCUGGCCACCAUGUGUGGGGAAUGUGUGCACAGUCAUCUAACCUGAAACGACCCUGCCCACUGGUGACCAUAGCCAGGGAUGGGCCUAGAGUCUAAGCAGUCAGAGAAGAACAUCCUUUACUCUGUGGGAGCAGGGCCAGAGGAAGCAAGAAGAGGGCUGGAGUCUUGUUCCCACUUAAUUUCUCCAUUUUUGAUAUUCUUUAUGCUUAAUGCCCCAUUGGAUGAGCCAUCAACCAGUGUUGCUCUCCUCCUUAAAUAUCCACCCAUGGCUCUCAUCCUCUUCAGGGCAAAUCUCAGUUCCUGAGUUGACUUUUGGGACCCUCAGGGGCCUGUCCCCCUAAAGACUCUCUCAUCCCCCACCUUAUACUUUACACUGCACACAUUGAAUCGUUCGGUUUGCCCAGUUCCCACAUAUAUGAUCACAUCUCAGUGCCUUCGCAGGUGCGGCUUCCUCUGGGGGAAGCCCACAUGUCAAGAAAUUGGCCAAGGUCCCAUUGGACUCUGCAAGACAAAUUUCAUGGUAGAUCCUGGCCUGAAGAAUUUGCAGUGCCAGCAGGAAGACACACAGAGGUUUAACUAUCUAUAGUGCAGACUCACCUGUCCACAGGUACAAAGGAAGGGCAUACACAGCACAGCACAUGCUCCCUUGCUGCUGGAGGUACCAGGAGCGGCCUCUUGAAGGGGGGGACCUCUGUUAGGGCCCUGAGGGAUGGGUCUGUUCACAAGGAAAUGGCAUCACAGGAAAAGUAGGCAUCCAAGCAGAAGGAAGCAGGAGUGACAGGAGCAGACAGGACAGAGGUGGGAAUGAGGCUU
Molecule: long non-coding RNA, 4284 nt
Organism: Equus asinus (donkey)
Lineage: Eukaryota; Metazoa; Chordata; Mammalia; Perissodactyla; Equidae
Source: Ensembl